UACGGAGGAUGCAAGCGUUAUCCGGAAUGAUUGGGCGUAAAGCGUCCGCAGGUGGCUAUGUAAGUCUGCUGUUAAAGAGCAAAGCUUAACUUUGUAAAAGCAGUGGAAACUACAUAGCUAGAGUGCGUUCGGGGCAGAGGGAAUUCCUGGUGUAGCGGUGAAAUGCGUAGAGAUCAGGAAGAACACCGGUGGCGAAGGCGCUCUGCUAGGCCGCAACUGACACUGAGGGACGAAGGCUAGGGGAGCGAAUGGG
RNAcentral lists this ribosomal RNA (253 nucleotides) under uncultured bacterium. RNAcentral's name for it is "partial 16S ribosomal RNA". It matches the Rfam family "Bacterial small subunit ribosomal RNA", at positions 524 to 776 of the family's 1533-position model. The record is from RNAcentral.